UGGCUCAGGACGAACGCUGGCGGCGUGCUUAACACAUGCAAGUCGAACGGUGAACCUCCCUUCGGGGAGGGGAUCAGUGGCGAACGGGUGAGUAACACGUGACCAACCUGCCCCUGGCUCUGGGAUAACCCCGGGAAACCGGAGCUAAUACCGGAUAUGAGUUCGCGCGGCAUCACGCGGACUGGAAAGUUUUUCGGCCAGGGAUGGGGUCGCGGCCUAUCAGCUUGUUGGUGGGGUAACGGCCCACCAAGGCGACGACGGGUAGCCGGCCUGAGAGGGCGACCGGCCACACUGGGACUGAGACACGGCCCAGACUCCUACGGGAGGCAGCAGUGGGGAAUAUUGCGCAAUGGGCGAAAGCCUGACGCAGCGACGCCGCGUGAGGGACGACGGCCUUCGGGUUGUAAACCUCUUUCAGCAGGGAAGAAGCGAAAGUGACGGUACCUGCAGAAGAAGCACCGGCUAACUACGUGCCAGCAGCCGCGGUAAUACGUAGGGUGCAAGCGUUGUCCGGAAUUAUUGGGCGUAAAGAGCUCGUAGGCGGUCUGUCGCGUCGGAUGUGAAAACCCAGGGCUCAACCCUGGGCCUGCAUUCGAUACGGGCAGACUAGAGUUCGGCAGGGGAGACUGGAAUUCCUGGUGUAGCGGUGAAAUGCGCAGAUAUCAGGAGGAACACCGGUGGCGAAGGCGGGUCUCUGGGCCGAUACUGACGCUGAGGAGCGAAAGCGUGGGGAGCGAACAGGAUUAGAUACCCUGGUAGUCCACGCCGUAAACGUUGGGCGCUAGGUGUGGGGAACCUUCCACGUUCUCCGUGCCGCAGCUAACGCAUUAAGCGCCCCGCCUGGGGAGUACGGCCGCAAGGCUAAAACUUAAAG
Molecule: ribosomal RNA, 874 nt
Filed under: uncultured bacterium
Lineage: Bacteria
Description: bacterial SSU rRNA
Rfam family: Bacterial small subunit ribosomal RNA
Source: RNAcentral